Manis pentadactyla (Chinese pangolin) is the source of this 928-nucleotide long non-coding RNA. RefSeq lists it as uncharacterized. The transcript has 3 exons. The record is from RefSeq and is a predicted model, not a curated record. NCBI's taxonomy places the organism in Eukaryota, Metazoa, Chordata, Mammalia, Pholidota, Manidae.
ACAAACAUGAAACGAGGAAGGGACAUGUCAGGCUCUGCAUGAGUAAAAACUCGGAGGGCCCAGUUAGUGGGCACCCAGGCUUCUUGUGAUGACUUUCUUUACAUGUUUGGAAAGAGGGGCCAGAAGGAAAGUACUUCCUUCAGUAAGAAUCGACUUGGAUUAUUUGUCCAAGCAAAGCACAUCUCAUGUCUUCAACUACAUUAUAAACCCUUCAGAGGUACUGGGUAUGACCAUUGCAAUUGAAAAACACCAUUUGGAUCAUUAUCUUCAACAGAGAGGCACAUUCACCACUGCUGAGAAUGCUUUCUAGCCUCUCUUCAUGCUGUAUUUUUGAGGCCAGCUCCUUGCAAGUCUAUUAGGAAAUGGGGCUCUAGAAAUCUUGGUGUUUACCUUGCAGGUACAGGACCUGGCUGCUCUGUGCAGGGCGCCCUCAGCACAGAUACAUCAGACUGACCAUAUUUAAUAAGAAGGAAGUGUUUCCUCUUCCGAUCUAAGUGCAGAAGCCACAAUUCUUUCUUUCUAAUACUUGAUAUGCUUUUUCCCACAUGCAGUCUUAUUCUACUUCAGAAUGAGUAAUUUUCAAAAUUCUCCCAGAAUUUUUCCUUUAUGAGAGGCAGGCUGGACUGCAGAGUCUGUUCCCUGGAUGGGGUCAACCAGGUCAUCCCCUGAAUUCACUGUGAAUGAGACACCCCUGAGAGCACUCCCACAUGCUGCUUUCAAACCUAGAGAUGACUUUCUUCCUAAAUUAUGUACAGAAUUUCAUUCUACAAUUAACUUAGUUUAAGAUAAUUCACAAAUAAAAUUGUAACUAAUUACCUCUUUGAGACAAGGCUAUUUUGGGGUGAUAAAACCUUCUGAACCUGGAAUUUGGUGAAGUCUGCAAAAUUUCAUUAAACUUUAUCAAAGAGCAUUGAACUGUACAAUUAAA